UGCCAGCAGCCGCGGUAAUACGGAGGAUGCGAGCGUUAUCCGGAAUGAUUGGGCGUAAAGCGUCUGCAGGUGGUCAAUCAAGUCUUAUGUUAAAGAGCGGGGCUUAACUCUGUGAGGGCAUAGGAAACUGAUGGACUAGAGUACAGUAGGGGUCACGGGAAUUCCCGGUGUAGCGGUGAAAUGCGUAGAUAUCGGGAAGAACACCAGCGGCGAAAGCGCGUGACUGGGCUGAGACUGACACUCAUGGACGAAAGCUAGGGGAGCGAAAGGGAUUAGAUACCCCUGUAGUCCUAGCUGUAAACGAUGGCAACUAGGUGUUGGCCGUAUCGACCCGGUCAGUGCCGAAGCUAACGCGUUAAGUUGCCCGCCUGGGGAGUACGCUUGCAAGAGUGAAACUUAAAUGAAUUGACGG
RNAcentral lists this ribosomal RNA (412 nucleotides) under uncultured cyanobacterium. Its description in RNAcentral is "bacterial SSU rRNA". It matches the Rfam family "Bacterial small subunit ribosomal RNA", at positions 506 to 916 of the family's 1533-position model. The record is from RNAcentral. Lineage: Bacteria; Bacillati; Cyanobacteriota.